AUUUAAGCAGUUUUUAGUUAAGAACAUCAUAUCAAUCCAAGACAGCUUUAAAUGUGAAGGAAUUAUAACUAGAGACUAGUAUAUACAAAAUAGUGUAAAGCAUCUAAGACAUGGAUGUUUCUGAAGAAGUGCAAGUUGAAUAAAGUUCUUCCUAUGUCUAUUUAUAGAAUUAAACUUCCAAUAAAGUCAAAGAAAAUUAUAUGGAAUACAAAACAUAUAUGUCUGUCUGUGGUGAUAACAGAAGCAAAAAGAAGAUAUUAUCAAUUAAAAGAUCAAACUGAGAAGAUAGAAGAAGGCUUGUUAAAUAAUGCAAAAAUUCAAUUUAUCAAAGAAGUUACAGAGUUAAGAUACAAAUUAUUGAUCUUAAGAGAAAUUGAGGCAGCUACGUAUUAAAAAACUUAAGUGGAUUUUUAUGAAGCAACUAGGUAAACAAAAGAAGUCUACAGUUCUGUUGCAGGAUAUUAUUGGAGUAAUAGGUGAUAUUGGAUACUUACAUAUGCUAAAGAGUUC
This 510-nucleotide long non-coding RNA is filed under the name Androctonus crassicauda. Lineage: Eukaryota; Metazoa; Arthropoda; Arachnida; Scorpiones; Buthidae. The record is from RNAcentral.